RNAcentral lists this transfer RNA (77 nucleotides) under Chloroflexota bacterium. RNAcentral's name for it is "Chloroflexi bacterium tRNA-Thr". It matches the Rfam family "tRNA". From Rfam's summary of the family: Transfer RNA (tRNA) molecules are approximately 80 nucleotides in length. Lineage: Bacteria; Bacillati; Chloroflexota. The record is from RNAcentral.
GCCGCCAUAGCUCAGCCCGGCAGAGCGGCAGUUUCGUAAACUGCAGGUCGGGGGAUCGAAGCCCUCUGGCGGCUCCC